This 1072-nucleotide ribosomal RNA is filed under the name Limosilactobacillus fermentum. RNAcentral's name for it is "bacterial SSU rRNA". It matches the Rfam family "Bacterial small subunit ribosomal RNA", at positions 24 to 1051 of the family's 1533-position model. RNAcentral also lists the same sequence under 1 other name. Lineage: Bacteria; Bacillati; Bacillota; Bacilli; Lactobacillales; Lactobacillaceae. The record is from RNAcentral.
UCAGGAUGAACGCCGGCGGUGUGCCUAAUACAUGCAAGUCGAACGCGUUGGCCCAAUUGAUUGAUGGUGCUUGCACCUGAUUGAUUUUGGUCGCCAACGAGUGGCGGACGGGUGAGUAACACGUAGGUAACCUGCCCAGAAGCGGGGGACAACAUUUGGAAACAGAUGCUAAUACCGCAUAACAACGUUGUUCGCAUGAACAACGCUUAAAAGAUGGCUUCUCGCUAUCACUUCUGGAUGGACCUGCGGUGCAUUAGCUUGUUGGUGGGGUAAUGGCCUACCAAGGCGAUGAUGCAUAGCCGAGUUGAGAGACUGAUCGGCCACAAUGGGACUGAGACACGGCCCAUACUCCUACGGGAGGCAGCAGUAGGGAAUCUUCCACAAUGGGCGCAAGCCUGAUGGAGCAACACCGCGUGAGUGAAGAAGGGUUUCGGCUCGUAAAGCUCUGUUGUUAAAGAAGAACACGUAUGAGAGUAACUGUUCAUACGUUGACGGUAUUUAACCAGAAAGUCACGGCUAACUACGUGCCAGCAGCCGCGGUAAUACGUAGGUGGCAAGCGUUAUCCGGAUUUAUUGGGCGUAAAGAGAGUGCAGGCGGUUUUCUAAGUCUGAUGUGAAAGCCUUCGGCUUAACCGGAGAAGUGCAUCGGAAACUGGAUAACUUGAGUGCAGAAGAGGGUAGUGGAACUCCAUGUGUAGCGGUGGAAUGCGUAGAUAUAUGGAAGAACACCAGUGGCGAAGGCGGCUACCUGGUCUGCAACUGACGCUGAGACUCGAAAGCAUGGGUAGCGAACAGGAUUAGAUACCCUGGUAGUCCAUGCCGUAAACGAUGAGUGCUAGGUGUUGGAGGGUUUCCGCCCUUCAGUGCCGGAGCUAACGCAUUAAGCACUCCGCCUGGGGAGUACGACCGCAAGGUUGAAACUCAAAGGAAUUGACGGGGGCCCGCACAAGCGGUGGAGCAUGUGGUUUAAUUCGAAGCUACGCGAAGAACCUUACCAGGUCUUGACAUCUUGCGCCAACCCUAGAGAUAGGGCGUUUCCUUCGGGAACGCAAUGACAGGUGGUGCAUGGUUG